RNAcentral lists this non-coding RNA (63 nucleotides) under Palpitomonas bilix. The record is from RNAcentral.
UGAAAAAAGGAGAAAAAAAAAAAAAAGAAAAAGCGGAAUCAAAAUCAAGUCAAAGAAUUGAAA